Molecule: long non-coding RNA, 1089 nt
Organism: Gracilinanus agilis (Agile Gracile Mouse Opossum)
Lineage: Eukaryota; Metazoa; Chordata; Mammalia; Didelphimorphia; Didelphidae
Exons: 2
Source: RefSeq, a predicted model, not a curated record
GGGAUGGCCUCGGAGAGGGACGGACUCUCAGCUCAGCACCCCAGGUUUAGGAUGACUGCUGACUUGUCAUCUGCUCUGAGCUCUGGCAGUGCUGUUUCCCCACUUAUCCUGGAUUAGUAUAUUUUUGGAUUUGAUACUCUAAGAAUUCUGUUCAAUCUGAAGCCGCUUCUAUGAGGUUUCACUAGAGAAGUUUGUAUGGACUAAAGUGUGGAGCUCCCCCUCUCUGAGGAGAGAUGCCGAGGCUGACAUGACUGCUGUUUGCAGAAAAUCUCUGUUCUCAGGAUUCCCGUGAAGCAUUUCCUGUGGGGUGUGUGAAGAAGCUGGGACAAGCCAACAUUGUGCCAUCUACUGAGCUGACUCUCACCUCUUGGGAAGGAAGGGAGGGGUUUGGUGUGGCAACCGGUGAAUUGUGGAAACAUUCUCCAUCUCUUGACUCAGUACUGCAGCUGGCUUGGUUGCCUUCUGUUCAGUUGUGUGAAUCAUCCAAAUUCUGUCUGGAGAGGAAAGUUUAUUCAAUAGGGAGAAUUGGGAGAAAGCCGUAUUACAUUAUUUGAACCUCUUCCUGACUGACUGGGAAACUGGACUACCUAUACCUACUGUUUAGAGACUGUCACCUAAGGGUCAAGCUUAGAUUGACCAGAAACACAGUCACAUCCUGAGUCUGAUGAAAGGAGUUUUCUCCUAAUUGUACGUCUCAGGCAUUCAGUGGCUCUUAUCUGUAAACUGGGUCCAUAUUGAUCAAUCAGUUAUUGCUUCUUUGUUCUUUUAAUUGCUCACAGAUAUUGGGAAGGAUGGGAACCCCUUUUCAGGGAACUUCCUCUGUCCCUCUUCCCCAUCCUACUUGGCAAGUCCCUAAUAUUUUCUUUAUUAGAAAGCAGAUUAUCCAAUUGUUUCCUUUAUAUUCAUUGACUUUUUUUAAUUCAUCUCUUUUAAGGUAGAUAAAUCUUUUUUCCCCCCAGAUUUCAAGGUCCAGCCCUAAGCCCAGCAUAGGGCCUGGUCCUUUUUGGUCAGGCAGUUGGCAUACCUUGUUUUUAAUAAAUGGAUGUGCUGAGAAGAGCAGAGCUUUGGUUCCUCAGGCAUUUCAUCGUU